ACAUGCAAGUCGAACGGCAGCACAGAAGAGCUUGCUCUUUGGGUGGCGAGUGGCGGACGGGUGAGUAAUGUCUGGGAAACUGCCCGAUGGAGGGGGAUAACUACUGGAAACGGUAGCUAAUACCGCAUAACGUCGCAAGACCAAAGUGGGGGACCUUCGGGCCUCACACCAUCGGAUGUGCCCAGAUGGGAUUAGCUAGUAGGUGGGGUAAUGGCUCACCUAGGCGACGAUCCCUAGCUGGUCUGAGAGGAUGACCAGCCACACUGGAACUGAGACACGGUCCAGACUCCUACGGGAGGCAGCAGUGGGGAAUAUUGCACAAUGGGCGCAAGCCUGAUGCAGCCAUGCCGCGUGUAUGAAGAAGGCCUUCGGGUUGUAAAGUACUUUCAGCGGGGAGGAAGGCGGUGAGGUUAAUAACCUCGCCGAUUGACGUUACCCGCAGAAGAAGCACCGGCUAACUCCGUGCCAGCAGCCGCGGUAAUACGGAGGGUGCAAGCGUUAAUCGGAAUUACUGGGCGUAAAGCGCACGCAGGCGGUCUGUUAAGUCAGAUGUGAAAUCCCCGGGCUUAACCUGGGAACUGCAUUUGAAACUGGCAGGCUUGAGUCUCGUAGAGGGGGGUAGAAUUCCAGGUGUAGCGGUGAAAUGCGUAGAGAUCUGGAGGAAUACCGGUGGCGAAGGCGGCCCCCUGGACGAAGACUGACGCUCAGGUGCGAAAGCGUGGGGAGCAAACAGGAUUAGAUACCCUG
RNAcentral lists this ribosomal RNA (747 nucleotides) under Pantoea dispersa. RNAcentral's name for it is "bacterial SSU rRNA". It matches the Rfam family "Bacterial small subunit ribosomal RNA", at positions 53 to 789 of the family's 1533-position model. Lineage: Bacteria; Pseudomonadati; Pseudomonadota; Gammaproteobacteria; Enterobacterales; Erwiniaceae. The record is from RNAcentral.